ACUAGCCUACUAAAAUUAAUAUGAAAAGACAGAGUUACCCUUUCCUUCCCAAACAGAAUUACAGUGGAUUGGACUGCAAAAUUCUCUCACCAUCCAAACACGAUCUCACUUCAAACAAAGACAUUCACAACUUUUUGAGUGUGUGUGUUUGUGCAGAAGGAGGACAACUGCAAUGGCAAUGGCACAAUAGCUAUUCGGAGGCUUUCAUCUACAGCUGACAAACCCAUUAAGCGUCUCUACAAUGGUGGCUCUCUAUAUUACAUGGUUUGUCUUUGUUUAGUAGUAGUAUCAGUUUUUUCCUUAAGUUAUUUUCUUAACCCUUUUUUUAGGUCAGUUUGUUGUUGCCUUGUUGAACUAAUUCGUAUCAUUGUUGUUGUUGUAGUCAUCUUUACCAAAUAAUGCUGUCUAACAAUGAAAAAACUGGAGUCACCGUAAG
RNAcentral lists this long non-coding RNA (436 nucleotides) under Nicotiana benthamiana. RNAcentral's name for it is "long non-coding RNA (NBEN_LNC032471)". The record is from RNAcentral. Lineage: Eukaryota; Viridiplantae; Streptophyta; Magnoliopsida; Solanales; Solanaceae.